GUUAGUGGCGAAAGGGUGAGGAAUAGAUAGGAACGUACCCUGUGCUCUGGGAUAGCGUCUGAAGCUUCGGCUUCUUCCGAAAGGGGCGGUAAUACCAGAUAAUGUCCUUCGGGACCAAAGAUUUAUCGGCAUUGGAGCGGCCUAUCUCCUAUCAGCUUGUUGGUGAGGUAACGGCUCACCAAGGCAACGACGGGGAGCGGGACUGAGAGGUUGGCCCGCCACAUCGGGACUGAGACACUGCCCGGACCUCCACGGAGGGCUGCAGUAACGGAUAUUGGGCAAUGGGCGAAAGCCUGACCCAGCAAUGCCGCGUGCAGGAUGAAGCCCCUAGGGGUGUAAACUGCUGUCAGGGGUCAGAAAGCUGGUUUCGGCCAGUUGAUCAACCCCAGAGGAAGUCACGGCUAACUUCGUGCCAGCAGCCGCGGUAAUACGAAGGUGGCAAGCGUUAUUCGGAAUCAUUGGGCUUACGGGGCACGCAGGCGGAACAGUGUGUGUUGUGUGAAAUCCCCCGGCUUAACCGGGGAAUUGCACAGCAAACUGCUGUUCUUGAGGCAGGUAGGGGUGCAUGGAACUCUUGGUGGAGCGGUGGAAUGCGUAGAUAUCAAGAGGAACGCCAGAGGUGAAGACGGUGCACUGGGCCUGUCCUGUCGCUGAGGUGCGAUAGCAUGGUGAGCGAUCGGGAUUAGAUACCUCGGUAGUGCACGCCGUAUCGAUGUCUACUGGGUCGUGGGUGUUCUGACACAUUCUCGGCCGGAGCAAAAGUGUUUAGUAGACCGCCUGGGGAGUACGGCCGCAAGGUUAAAACUCAAAUGAAUUGACGGGGGCUCACACAAGCGGUGGAGCAUGUGGAUUAAUUCGAAGCAACGCGCAGAACCUUACCUGGGUUUGACAUGCUUGUAUGCCUUCUCUGAAAGGAGUUAGGCUGCCUUCGGGUGAAACUUGCACAGGUGCUGCAUGGCUGUCGUCAGCUCGUGUCGUGAGAUGUCGGGUUAAGUCCUUUAACGAGCGAAACCCUUGCCGUUAGUUGCCAGCGAGUAAUGUCGGGGACUCUAACGGGACUGCCGGUGUUAAACCGGAGGAAGGUGGGGAUGACGUCAAGUCCUCAUGGCCUUUAUGCCCAGGGCUUCACACGUGCUACAAUGGCAAUUACAGAGCGACGCGAUACCGCGAGGUGGAGCAAAUCGCAAAAAAAUUGCCUCAGUUCGGAUUGCAGGCUGGCAAUUCGCCUGCAUGAAGUCGGAAUCGCUAGUAAUCGCGUAUCAGCAAUGACGCGGUGAAUGUGUUCCUGAGCCUUGUACACACCGCCCGUCAAGUGAUGGAAGCCGGGAGUACCCGAAGUCGGGUUGCUAACC
This 1352-nucleotide ribosomal RNA is filed under the name uncultured organism. RNAcentral describes it as "bacterial SSU rRNA". It matches the Rfam family "Bacterial small subunit ribosomal RNA", at positions 91 to 1440 of the family's 1533-position model. The record is from RNAcentral.